RNAcentral lists this non-coding RNA (162 nucleotides) under human oral metagenome. The record is from RNAcentral.
AAAGUAUGGAUUUAAAAGGGAAUUCGGUGCGAGUCCGAAACUGAGUCUCCAGCUGUGAGUUCCGCUAAGAGUUUUGCCCUGUGAAUGUCAUUUUUUCGGCAAAAGGCACGAAAAGAGAAGACGGCAAAGCGGGAACGAGUCAGAAGACCUGCCGAUGUGUUU